AAAACGACUCUCGGUAACGGAUUUCUCGGCUCUCGCAUUGAUGAAGAACGUAGCGAAAUGCGAUACUUGGUGUGAAUUGCAGAAUCUCUUGAACCAUCGAGUUUUUGAACGCAAGUUGCGCCCGAAGCCAUUAGGCUGAGAGCAUGCCUACCUAGGUAUCUCAC
This 164-nucleotide ribosomal RNA is filed under the name Sideroxylon salicifolium. RNAcentral's name for it is "5.8S ribosomal RNA". It matches the Rfam family "5.8S ribosomal RNA". Rfam says of the family: 5.8S ribosomal RNA (5.8S rRNA) is a component of the large subunit of the eukaryotic ribosome. It is transcribed by RNA polymerase I as part of the 45S precursor that also contains 18S and 28S rRNA. The record is from RNAcentral. Lineage: Eukaryota; Viridiplantae; Streptophyta; Magnoliopsida; Ericales; Sapotaceae.